Molecule: ribosomal RNA, 253 nt
Filed under: uncultured bacterium
Lineage: Bacteria
Description: partial 16S ribosomal RNA
Rfam family: Bacterial small subunit ribosomal RNA
Source: RNAcentral
UACGGGGGGGGCAAGCGUUGUUCGGAAUUACUGGGCGUAAAGGGCGCGUAGGCGGGUGGACAAGUCUCUCGUGAAAGCCCACGGCUCAACCGUGGAAUUGCGGGAGAUACUGUCUGUCUUGAGUCCGGGAGAGGAGGGUGGAACUCCCAGUGUAGCGGUGAAAUGCGGAGAUAUUGGGAGGAACACCGGGGGCGCAGGCCGCGCCCUGGACCGGCGCUGACCCUGCCGCCCGAAAGACCGGGUUCCUAACCUG